CUCUCUUGCAAAUAAGGUAAAACCUCGAAAAUUAGCCACGUCAUCUAAAUCAAUCGGCAUCUUGCAUAAUAGCAAAAACAAAUAGCCUUUUCCCCUUCUCCUAGAAACGUUCAGCCACAAACACUAAUUAAAACAGGGUUUCAACUUUCAAGCCAUAAACUCAUCAACUCCCACAAGCCAUGAUCUCUUCCAUACAUGUGGUUUGAAGCUCCUCUCCUUUCAUGUUUAAACCAAAAGGCCACGAUCAUAUAUAGAGACAUCCUCCAUUUUGAACGUUUGUGUGGGUAUGGAGAAGCAUCGAGUCAGUAGAUGAUCAACAAGGUCUUCCAUAAAAAUUGAACUCAACAAAAGGUGAAUGCAUCUCGAGUUAAGCGAGAAAUAAGAACGACAGAACUGGGAACUCAUCGAUGGUAGACAUGGUUUACUGCAAUAUUCAAUGGAUAUUGAUGCGAAGAUGACCAGCAUCAAUAUUGUGAGACUACACUUCUUCCCCAAAUCCUCAAGGUGCAGCAACUCGAUGAUUGGUCAAAUCUGAUCAGUUCUAUAUUUUUCAUGUUCUCAAAGUGUUAGGUUGAAUGUUAACAAUUCUAGCGGUGGUGAUCGAAGCAAAGAGAAAUGAUGGUUGUGGUGAUGAUGAUGAUGAGCGUAAAUGACUAUACUCGGGUGCUACCAGCCACGGCCAAAACCGUAACGAAUCAUAGUCACUUACAGUUAUACUGUUUCUCCAAAUUCUAUUAUUUUACAUUUAAAAUGUAAACCCCAAAUUAUUUCAUGGUUUUGUUGUUUUCAAAGUUAAACUUGUCAUGUCUAGAUAAAGAGACCCUGAGCAAAUUUACUAUGCAACUGUAAUGAAAGGUAAAGGUCCAAGCAUAGUUGAGAAAGAACAAAUUGGCGUGAUGAAUCUGAUGAAAAAGUAAACAAGAAACAUACUCAAGGUUAUAAUCGUAGAAAACAGACAAUCAGAAUUGAUGUUCUAUGCUUUAUUGGCUAAACAAAUAAUCAAAAUCAUUAGAGUAUUGGUGUCCUUGACGAUUCAAAUUAUUAUAUAUAAUUGCUUGAGGAAUUUUCCUAACAUAUAAUUAGUAUU
Long non-coding RNA from Arabidopsis lyrata subsp. lyrata, 1087 nucleotides. RefSeq lists it as uncharacterized. Lineage: Eukaryota; Viridiplantae; Streptophyta; Magnoliopsida; Brassicales; Brassicaceae. The record is from RefSeq and is a predicted model, not a curated record. The transcript is spliced from 5 exons.